GGGAUCCCCUCCAGGGCGGGAUCCUCCGUCUGGCAUCCCUCCCGAUGGCAUCACCUCCCUCUAGCAUCCCCUUCCCUGGGCACGCUCCCCUGGGGAGGGUCGAUGGGCCCCUAUUUGGAUUCAGCGCAGGAAGUCCUUUAGCAAUGGAAUUUCUUGAAUGUCAUCAAAAGAAGUCAAACCCAGAUGUGGACUGUGCCUGCUCAGUAUGUCAGAAGUGGAACCAGCUUUCUGUAGUUUCCCAUGCUGCAGUGAGAGGAGGAUUAAAAACUAAGGUAUUUGAACACCAUGAAAUUA
Long non-coding RNA from Manacus vitellinus (golden-collared manakin), 294 nucleotides. RefSeq lists it as uncharacterized. The transcript has 2 exons. The record is from RefSeq and is a predicted model, not a curated record. NCBI's taxonomy places the organism in Eukaryota, Metazoa, Chordata, Aves, Passeriformes, Pipridae.